Molecule: long non-coding RNA, 659 nt
Organism: Alligator sinensis (Chinese alligator)
Lineage: Eukaryota; Metazoa; Chordata; Crocodylia; Alligatoridae
Exons: 3
Source: RefSeq, a predicted model, not a curated record
UCCAGCAAGCAACAGGCAGAGGUUUUGGUGACAAAGAUUUUCGGUCUGGAUUAGAAAAUGGUAUUCUGCUGUGUGAGUUGCUGAAUGCAAUAAAGCCUGGACUGGUAAAAAAGAUCAAUAGACUGCCGACCCCUAUUGCAGGCUUGGCUAUAAUGGGGAAUCAUGAAAACACUUAACACUUGGACAUCUCUUGCCUGACUUGGAUGAAAAUUGUAGGAAUGGUGGCCCUUUCUGACAACAUGAAGCCUGCCAAGUUUCAAGGAGACAGGUGUAGAGGUUUCUGGGAAACUGCACCUCAAACUCUUCAAAACACAACUCCUGACACUUGCCAACAGCAGACCUGCAGCCCUCCCAGGGGUGGAAGCCUCCGUAUCUGCGCACUGGAUGGGAGGAGGCUGCCACUGUUGCCUGGGACCAGCGCUGGGCACAGCCCACGCCCGGCAUCAGAGAAGACUGCUGCUGCCGCGCAGCCCCCUUUCAUCCAGCUCCCGGAUCCGGAGGCUCACACCACCAGGAGGAGUCUGGCGCAGCCCUCGCAGGGGUGGAAGCCCCUGUAUCUGCACACUGGAUGAGAGGAGGCUGUCUCUUCCACCUGGGACCAGUGCUGGGCACAGGCUGGGACCAGUGCUGGAGAAAAUUGCUGCUGCGGUAGCCUCCUC